AUUGAACGCUGGCGGCAGGCCUAACACAUGCAAGUCGAGCGGAUGAAGGGAGCUUGCUCCUGGAUUCAGCGGCGGACGGGUGAGUAAUGCCUAGGAAUCUGCCUGGUAGUGGGGGAUAACGUCCGGAAACGGGCGCUAAUACCGCAUACGUCCUGAGGGAGAAAGUGGGGGAUCUUCGGACCUCAUGCUAUCAGAUGAGCCUAGGUCGGAUUAGCUAGUUGGGGGGGUAAAGGCCUACCAAGGCGACGAUCCGUAACUGGUCUGAGAGGAUGAUCAGUCACACUGGAACUGAGACACGGUCCAGACUCCUACGGGAGGCAGCAGUGGGGAAUAUUGGACAAUGGGCGAAAGCCUGAUCCAGCCAUGCCGCGUGUGUGAAGAAGGUCUUCGGAUUGUAAAGCACUUUAAGUUGGGAGGAAGGGCAGUAAGUUAAUACCUUGCUGUUUUGACGUUACCAACAGAAUAAGCACCGGCUAACUUCGUG
Molecule: ribosomal RNA, 484 nt
Filed under: uncultured bacterium
Lineage: Bacteria
Description: partial 16S ribosomal RNA
Rfam family: Bacterial small subunit ribosomal RNA
Source: RNAcentral